UAAAGUGUAUACACUCAUUUAAUUGUUUAUUAUUUAUAUUGUACAGAAAGGUUGAUUACACAUGUAUUACUCAUUACGUUUCCUAUUGGAAAUAACAGGUAAGUAAACAAACCAGUGCUAUCUAUAUGCUGAAGGCGAUUGUUUCUCUAAACGCAGCUUAUUGUCAUGUAUGAAACUUGGGGGGAAAUCUACAGUCGUUAGGACUCCGGUGCUUUAUUUCAAAUAAGUUACCACGUUUUCGACUUUGUUGGCGAUAAUACUUUAUUUUUUUAUUUAUGGCUGAAAACUAAGACAGCAACCCGUAAGGAACACUAGAUUUUGGAAUCGCCGUUAUGUGAGGCAGUAUAUACGCCCACAUUCGUAUACCAGCUUCGAGCCUCGCACCUGUAACCAAUGGGAUGCAUCCAGCAGGCUCGCCAACCACUGUUCCACAGCAGCGCCAAACGAUUAAAUAAUUUUUUUUCUUGACAGAUAUACAAACGAUUUUAUAGUUUUGAAUCCUUAUAUCAAAUUGUGCAUAAAACUAAAUGGAAGAGAUAGAAGAAAGCAAGCCAGCAUGUGGUGAGAAAUGCCCAACGUGCGAACAAAUAAUAGAAAUCUGUCCAACUUGUGAGCAGCGAGUAAUAACUACUCAACCAGAAAAAGGUAUGGACAUUGACAAAGCAAUCGAAAGAUCUGGAAAGGUUUUAGGAUGUUGUUCAAAGAUGUUUAGUUGCAUUGGUAAAGCGAACACCAUGGCCGAGGAUCUGCAAAAGUAAAACACUCCACGCUUAUCUAUUGGUAGCCUAUAUACAGCAGUAGUGUGGGGUAAGAUGAGAAACCUUUAGUAAAUAAUAUCCAAAUAUCCUGAUAGUGUAAACAAAAACAACGCUCUCUGGAAAUCAUAAAUACAAGGUUUUAUAAUUCUUUAGGUGUUAUUUGUUUACUACCAAACUGGACAAGAAAAUGUAAUCAAAGGGUGUCCCAUCUUACCCCAAACUACUAUAUUUAUUUUAAGUUAUACAUGUCACAAAUGUAACACAAAAAAGUACAAUCAAUUAAAACUGUGGGCAUCUUUGUAAUUGCCCUACAAAUGUUCUCCUCUGAGAUAAAUCCAACGAUGCCAAUUUUCCGUUCAGCACCAGCAUCACGCUAAUAAGUGACGUCACGGGUGCUUCUCGCUUGAGUGCGUACCCACAUAACAUAAUGAAAAAUGCAUUGCUUAAAAACAGCAGCAUCUAUUAAUUCGUGUUCAAUUCAUCUUGGAUUUGUCAAUUUAGAAGCCCCCACAUUUCUUCGUGUUGUGUUUGUAAAUGUUUUUCCUUGUGAAUUAGCCUGAAUAUAAAGCUCUACUUUCGGUUUGAUACUCAUAUAUAUCCUUGAACAAGAGUUAAUAAAAAUUGCUUCA
Molecule: non-coding RNA, 1387 nt
Organism: Ciona intestinalis (vase tunicate)
Lineage: Eukaryota; Metazoa; Chordata; Ascidiacea; Phlebobranchia; Cionidae
Source: RefSeq, a predicted model, not a curated record